Helianthus annuus (common sunflower) is the source of this 316-nucleotide long non-coding RNA. RefSeq lists it as uncharacterized. The transcript is spliced from 2 exons. NCBI's taxonomy places the organism in Eukaryota, Viridiplantae, Streptophyta, Magnoliopsida, Asterales, Asteraceae. The record is from RefSeq and is a predicted model, not a curated record.
AGGAAAUGAAUGUUAGUAUGAAUGAGCAUUUGUGCUAACCAUAAUGUGAUUGUAAUGACAUGAAAGGAUAGGGAUCACAUUAGCAUGGACUCAAGAACGGAACGCUAACGGGUCAUGAGGAGGUGAGGAAGCAAGCUUGAACACGGACGCUUAAGGUUAUACGGAUAACGGGCGGAUUAUCACAAGAAUUAGAGAUCGAAGACCGAGUCACGAGAUAGAUUAUACGGGAAUAAUUAAGUAUGUACUAUUAGUAAACAUGACUUAUAUUUUAUCUUUGUAAAAGAUACAUUUUAAAACGAACUUUCAAGUAAGUCAA